Molecule: unclassified non-coding RNA, 277 nt
Filed under: Hevea brasiliensis (rubber tree)
Lineage: Eukaryota; Viridiplantae; Streptophyta; Magnoliopsida; Malpighiales; Euphorbiaceae
Source: RNAcentral
GCUUGAUGCGUUAUGGAGUUAAGCUGACCUAAGAACAAGUUUGUUCUUUGAUCUGGUUGAACCAAGGGUAAACACUCUCCAAAACUCAUCACUUGCUUCUGAUCACUGCUGUUUUCAGAUUCAAAGCCACUGAAUGUUUUUGAAGUUGAAAUAUCAGAUGAGUUUGGCUUCUUCUUUGUCUGCUUCCAAUCUACAGGUGUGUACCUUUUGCACGAUGGUAUUCGCUUGAAUAUGCGACAAAGUGUCCAAACUUCAGCUUGUUGAGCAACAGUAGCCG